AAUGACGAAGACUCAUAUGGACUUCGGCUACACCAUCAAAGCUUUGAGAAGCAAGAAGUAGCGUGGUUAGUGUUUUGGAGUCGAAUAUGACUUGAUGUCAUGUGUAUGAGUGAGUAUAAAAUCUAGAACCGCAACGGAUCUUAAAAGCCUAAAUAUUGUAUCCUUGUUAGAAGAUACAUAGACAAAGAGUCAUACGAAAUUCGGCUAAACCAUCAAAGCUUUUAGAAGCAAUAAGAAGCUUGGUUAGUGUUUUGGAGUAAAAUAU
Molecule: small RNA, 265 nt
Filed under: Arabidopsis thaliana (thale cress)
Lineage: Eukaryota; Viridiplantae; Streptophyta; Magnoliopsida; Brassicales; Brassicaceae
Description: ATSL269330
Source: RNAcentral